This 2534-nucleotide long non-coding RNA is filed under the name Lotus japonicus. RNAcentral describes it as "long non-coding RNA (LJAP_LNC001013)". The record is from RNAcentral. Lineage: Eukaryota; Viridiplantae; Streptophyta; Magnoliopsida; Fabales; Fabaceae.
UCAUCAUCAACAAACUUACCACGGUCACCAAGAGCUCCAAUGGCUCCAAGCAGAGUGAAGAGGAUGAAAAACAGGAGAAGAGGCUCUGCUUCAUAAAUGGGAAUUCCAGUUUCCAAAUUCAGUUGUGCUAGAAUUCCUUUGCCAGUAAGUGCUUCACCCAACAAUGAUGCCUGCAAAUGCACCAAACCAUGUCCUAAAUUAUCUAAUGUGUAUUUGUGUUGACGAGUGUUAUAAAUAUAAUAUAAAAUUAUUCAUAUAUAUUAUAAGAUGUUAGGAUAGUUAACUUCAUGACAUAGCAUCAAAACCUUGAGCAUAAUAUCAUGGCAUGAAGUCAUGAACCAACUAUCCUAAAAGUUCAAACUCUUUGGUUAAAACACAUACUAAUGAUAACUAUUCAAUUUCAAACACGUGCGCUCAUAGAAUAACCUACUAUGAUAAAAACUUUGAUAACAUGUCAUGAAUCGCCUAUCCCAAAAAUAAAACUAUUUUUAUUUUUUGAAUUCAAGUAUCUUUCGCUGACGCAAUCAUGUCCGAGACGGGUAGAACCAAUAUGGGCACAAACCUCUCCCUAGCAAACAUUUAUGUGUCUCAAACCCAAGACCUAUGCUUAAGCUAAAACAGUCAUGUGUAAGUUGAUUUACACGUUUAAUUGUCCAAAAACUUAGACUAUUGAGUAAAGAAACAUGAAUGACUUUAUUAUAUAUUUCUAACAAUUAGCUACUUUGGCAAUUUGCACCCAAACAUGUCCCUAAUUGUUUUUGCAUGACAUUACGUCCCUUGCUGAUUUAUCAGUGGCUUUGGGAAUUACAUAAGACAAAUUCAAUUUUGAAUGAACAUUUUGAAGUAGUGUUCACAACUCAAUUUUGAAAGAACUCUUCAGAUGUAGCUAUAUAUUCGUUUUGAAUCAUUUUAAAUCUACCUAAUUAACGUCCAAUCAAAGACUCCAAAUUUUCUUUUUGUCAAAGUUGUAUAGUGAGGAAGAAACAAUUGAUCUCAAGUGCAUUGAAAAUAAGACAAGCUAGUUCAUGUUUCAAGGAGCUUACAUAUAGAGCUAAUAUUUAAUUUACUUACCGCAAAACCAAUCAUGGCAACACGACCCACAAAUAGCUCAUUCUGCUUAGUAAAACCAAUCCCUCCAGAAGUGCCAAACACACCAUCUUCAACUUUUGGCUUUUGCUUCACAACCUGAACAAAUCUCAUGAAACUAAAUUCAGUGUGCUCACAAAUGAAGCUUAAGAUUAGAGACAGUCAAGUAAUGUUAUAAAAUUUUCGAAAAUAAAUGCAUGCUUGAAAAUCUUUGUUCAACUUAUUCUAAAUGAAAAGUCAAUUAUGAGAAGAAGCUUCUAUGAGUAGAAUUGAUUCUGAAGAAAGAGAAGUUGAUUCAAGCACGCUAUAAGUACCUUGGGAGGAGGGGCUUUGGCCUUUGAUUUGAAGAGAGCCAGAGUAGUGAAUGUGCGAGAUGAAAACAAGGAAGAGUUUGAAGGAAGUGGGUUGAAUGAGAGCUGAGAGAAUUUAGGCCUUAAUCUCUGACUCUGCAAUAUAGUAAAUAAUUGUGAGAAUUGUAUUACUUUUGUAGUGUCACAUUUGUUUAUCAUACACGACUAUGUCCAUCUAACCGCACUAGUAAGCAGCCAACUAAUUGCUCACUUGGAAAGUCCUACUCCUAUGAUAUGAAAGUCGCAUGAAGUAAAACAAGAAGUUUCAUUCUUUCUCCUAAUGUUGUCUCACUUUCUUUAAUUAUGCUUAAUUAGUGAUGCCUCAUUUCAUUCACCUAAUAUUAUUUUAUAUACAGACCAACUUCAGAGGAUUUAUGCAGAGAUAUGAAACAACAUUUUACCAGGAACUGAAUCCAUUGAUCAUAGAUGAACAAAUUUAAGUAUUCUUAAGGUACAAUUAAACAAAGUGGUUAGUGUCUAAUCUUCCCCGUCAUCUGAAACAAAUUUACCAGUUCCCGGAUUCAAAGCAGCAAUGAAGAAGAAAGCAACGUUGAACAACACUAGGGGUUCUAUUUCAUUAAUUGGUAUCCCGGUCUCAAUGUUGAGUUGUGCUAGAGCUCCCUUCCCAGUAAUAAUUUCUCCAAUCAAAGAGAAAGCAAAACCCAAUUGAGCCAAUCUUCCAACAAAAAGCUCGUUUGAUUUGGUGAAACCAAAUAGAGGACCUGAAAAUGCCACAAAGAAAGCAACACAAAUUAGUGUUUGUUUUGAAAUGUUUUACAUUUGAUUCUAAGACUAAAAUAAAUUAUGGUAAGAAGCUUUUGGAUGUCAUAAUUGAUAUCGAGAAAAAAUAAGUUGAUUCAAACAUGUUAUACAAUUGAUUUUAAAACUAAAAUUAAUUUUGGGGAGAAGCUUCUGUCCAAAAUUGAUCAUGGGGAAAAAUAAGCUGCUCGUAACAUGCAUAGUAAACUUAGUUACCUCCUUCACUGAGACCAAGAGCUCCUCUCAAGCCUUUCCCUGGAGGAAUAACAGCCUUGUCAAGUCCAGUAGGAGAUUCAUCAUCAACAAACUUACCACGGUCACCAAGAGCUCCAAUGGCUC